CGCGUAGGCGGUCCGCUAAGUUGGAUGUGAAAACUCUGGGCUUAACCCAGAGCCUGCAUUCAAAACUGACGGGCUGGAGUUCUGGAGGGGAUAGCGGAAUUCCUGGUGUAGCGGUGAAAUGCGUAGAUAUCAGGAGGAACACCGGUGGCGAAGGCGGCUAUCUGGACAGAAACUGACGCUGAGGCGCGAAAGCUAGGGGAGCAAACA
This 207-nucleotide ribosomal RNA is filed under the name uncultured bacterium. Its description in RNAcentral is "partial 16S ribosomal RNA". It matches the Rfam family "Bacterial small subunit ribosomal RNA", at positions 568 to 774 of the family's 1533-position model. The record is from RNAcentral.